Small nuclear RNA from Oryctolagus cuniculus (rabbit), 83 nucleotides. NCBI's taxonomy places the organism in Eukaryota, Metazoa, Chordata, Mammalia, Lagomorpha, Leporidae. The record is from Ensembl.
GUGCUUCAGCAGCACAUAUACCAGAGAAGAUGAGCAUGGCCCCUGCACAAGGAUGACAUGCAAAUUAAAUUCAUGAAGUGUUC